This 786-nucleotide ribosomal RNA is filed under the name uncultured Acidobacteriota bacterium. RNAcentral describes it as "bacterial SSU rRNA". It matches the Rfam family "Bacterial small subunit ribosomal RNA", at positions 56 to 875 of the family's 1533-position model. The record is from RNAcentral. Lineage: Bacteria; Pseudomonadati; Acidobacteriota.
UGCAAGUCGAACGAGAAAGUGGAGCAAUCCAUGAGUACAGUGGCGUACGGGUGAGUAACACGUGGGUAAUCUACCUUUUAGUGAGGAAUAACCCUGGGAAACCGGGGCUAAUACCGCAUAAGCCUGAGAAGGGAAAGCAGCAAUGCGCUGAAAGAGGAGCCCGCGGCCGAUUAGCUAGUUGGUGGGGUAAGAGCCCACCAAGGCAGAGAUCGGUAGCCGGCCUGAGAGGGCACACGGCCACACUGGCACUGAAACACGGGCCAGACUCCUACGGGAGGCAGCAGUGGGGAAUCUUGCACAAUGGGGGAAACCCUGAUGCAGCGACGCCGCGUGAGCGAUGAAGCCCUUCGGGGUGUAAAGCUCUUUCGUCAGGGAAGAUAGUGACGGUACCUGGAGAAGCAGCUGCGGCUAACUACGUGCCAGCAGCCGCGGUAAUACGUAGGCAGCAAGCGUUGUUCGGAGUUACUGGGCGUAAAGGGUGUGUAGGCGGUUCUUUAAGUUUGUUGUGAAAUCUCCCGGCUUAACCGGGAGGGUGCGGCGAAUACUGAGGGACUAGAGUACGGGAGAGGAAAGUGGAAUUCCUGGUGUAGCGGUGAAAUGCGUAGAUAUCAGGAGGAACACCGGUGGUGUAGACGGCUUUCUGGACCGUAACUGACGCUGAGACACGAAAGCGUGGGUAGCAAACAGGAUUAGAUACCCUGGUAGUCCACGCCCUAAACGAUGCAUAUUUGGUGUGGGCAGUUCAUUCUGUCCGUGCCGGAGCUAACGCGUUAAAUAUGCCGCCUG